UACGUAGGUGGCAAGCGUUAUCCGGAAUUAUUGGGCGUAAAGAGCGCGCAGGUGGUUUAUUAAGUCCGGUGUAAAAGGCAGUGGCUCAACCAUUGUAUGCAUUGGAAACUGGUAGACUUGAGUGCAGGAGAGGAGAGUGGAAUUCCAUGUGUAGCGGUGAAAUGCGUAGAUAUAUGGAGGAACACCGGUGGCGAAAGCGGCUCUCUGGCCUGUAACUGACACUGAGGCUCGAAAGCGUGGGGAGCAAACAGG
This 252-nucleotide ribosomal RNA is filed under the name uncultured bacterium. Its description in RNAcentral is "partial 16S ribosomal RNA". It matches the Rfam family "Bacterial small subunit ribosomal RNA", at positions 524 to 776 of the family's 1533-position model. The record is from RNAcentral.